RNAcentral lists this ribosomal RNA (788 nucleotides) under uncultured bacterium. RNAcentral describes it as "bacterial SSU rRNA". It matches the Rfam family "Bacterial small subunit ribosomal RNA", at positions 8 to 812 of the family's 1533-position model. The record is from RNAcentral.
AGAGUUUGAUCCUGGCUCAGGAUGAACGCUAGCGGCGUGCCUAAUGCAUGCAAGUCGAACGGGAACCUUUGGAUUCGUCUUAAGGUGAGAGUGGCGAACGGGUGAGUAACACGUUGGUGACCUGCCCCAGAGAGGGGGUUAACCAUUGGAAACGAUGGCUAAUACCCCGGAUGUCCCUAUUGUUAGAGAGUAGUGACUAAAGCUCCGGCGCUCUGGGAGGGGCCUGCGGCCCAUCAGCUUGUUGGUAGGGUAACGGCCUACCAAGGCUAAGACGGGUAGGGGACGUGAGAGCGUGACCCCCCACACUGGUACUGAUACACGGACCAGAUACCUACGGGUAGCAGCAGCAAGGAAUAUUGCCCAAUGGACGAAAGUCUGAGGCAGCAACGCCGCGUGGAGGAUGAAGGCCUUCGGGUUGUAAACUCCUUUUCUGGGGGAAGAGAAAGGACGGUACCCCAGGAAUAAGUCUCGGCUAACUACGUGCCAGCAGCCGCGGUAAAACGUAGGAGGCGAGCGUUAUCCGGAUUUACUGGGCGUAAAGCGCGUGCAGGCGGUCCCUUAAGUCGGACGUGAAAGCUCCUGGCUCAACUAGGAGAGGUCGUUCGAAACUAGGGGACUUGAGGAUGGUAGAGGAGAGUGGAAUUCCCGGUGUAGUGGUGAAAUGCGUAGAUAUCGGGAGGAACACCAGUGGCGAAGGCGGCUCUCUGGGCUAUUCCUGACGCUAAGACGCGAAAGCUAGGGGAGAGAACGGGAUUAGAAACCCCGGUAUUCCUAGCCGUAAACGAUGU